Molecule: transfer RNA, 68 nt
Filed under: Gammarus emeiensis
Lineage: Eukaryota; Metazoa; Arthropoda; Malacostraca; Amphipoda; Gammaridae
Description: tRNA-Val
Source: RNAcentral
GAUGAAAAAAUUUUCACUUACAAUGAAAAAUACCUAGUAGGCAUCUUUUUACUGCAAGUGGGUGCUAU